This 306-nucleotide ribosomal RNA is filed under the name Triticum aestivum (bread wheat). RNAcentral describes it as "partial small subunit ribosomal RNA". Lineage: Eukaryota; Viridiplantae; Streptophyta; Magnoliopsida; Poales; Poaceae. The record is from RNAcentral.
AUGGCUAGUAAUUGGAGUUUCAGACAAUUUGGGGAGGUAAUUUGUAGCCAAUAUCCUUGGGGUUUGCUUGAUGAAGUGGUUUACAAAUACUAUGAUGGGGGAAAGAAUUGGGUGACAGUUAGUAAUGAUGAAGAGCUAGCUACCAUGUUUGUUAGGCAUAAAGAGAAAGAUAAUUUCCAUGUGAGGCUGCAAGUUGAUGUGCUUGAGCAGGCAUUUGGACCUAGGAUGGCGGGUGCAACAUCUCGGGGAGAAUCAAGUCGUCGUAAUGGCAUCUCUAGCCAGAACAGUUCAGUUGGUGCACGGUGA